RNAcentral lists this long non-coding RNA (1507 nucleotides) under Ictidomys tridecemlineatus (thirteen-lined ground squirrel). RNAcentral's name for it is "lncRNA (ENSSTOG00000034596.1)". The stretch from base 979 to 1040 matches the Rfam family "tRNA", at positions 5 to 66 of the family's 71-position model. The record is from RNAcentral. Lineage: Eukaryota; Metazoa; Chordata; Mammalia; Rodentia; Sciuridae.
UCGGGCCGCGGGCCUGGCCUCAAAGAUGGGCUACAUGUGGUGUCCCCCAAUCUCCGACGGAACUCCGGGCGGAUGAGAGACCACGACAAAGCCAGGCGACAGAACUCGGUUCUGUUGGCUCGGCUUCACUGAGCACCCGCGAAGUCCGGUUCUCUGGUGACCACCCAAGACCUCAAAUCCAACAUGCCGGGGAUCAGCAGACGUCCUGCCUCUGUGCGAUUGGGAGGUUGUGCUGUUGGCCGGCUGCAUGGAACUGGAUUCAGAGAGAGGAAGCGUCCAGGGACGGCGCGUCUGAAGGGUGGUGGGGAAACAGGAGGAUGGCUGGUCACCUCUAAGACUCAGACGGGAAUCAGAGAACCCUCAGAACCGCUCAGCUCGUCCGGCCUGAGUCUGUCCACACGAUGACGUGUCCCCUGCCCCUCCACUUUUCCCAGGAUCACUGAAGACAUUAAGCAACGUGGAUCAGAACACAGGCUUGGCAUCAGAGGUUCAGAACUUGCUGGCUGGAUACUUCUUGUACAGCUUGAGCAAAGGUUGUCCCCCUCUCUGCCUCAGUUUCCUCAUUUCUACAACGCGGAUGGCACGUGUAGAAAGGCACAGGCAGGUCUGCUGCAUUCACGCACUGUUGCUGGGCAGGGCUUGACAUGCAUUCAUUCUGCUUACUAAGGGCUCAAGGGGGUCUCUGGAUUUAAAAACGACUUGGGGGCUGGGAUGUAGCCCAGCAUUCAUGGGGCCCUGGGUUCUAUCUGAAGCACCGCUACCAAACCAGACAAAAAACCUGCUUAGGAUUUUAGGGGCCUUAGAAUAGGGGGCAGUUAUAUGAACAACUGAGGCUUCCAGCACUAAGCACAGUCUCCAAGAACACUUGUACACCUCUGUCCUCAGCAGGACUCUUCCCAAUAGCUAAAAGGUGGAAGCAACCCAAAUGUCCACUGACAGAUGAGUGGAUAAACACAAUGCCAUCUUCCCAGGACUUAGGUACAGCUCAGGGGCAGAGCACUUGCCUAGCAUGCAAGAAGCCUUGGGUUCUACCCCAGUACAGGGGGAAAAAGUGGUUAAUCCAUACAAUGGAAUAUUACUCAGCCUUAAAAAGGAAGAAUGGUGCCUGUGAUCCUAGUAACAUGGGAGGCUGAGGCAGGAAGAUAACAAGUUCAAGGCCAGCUGGGCAACUCAGCAAGACUGUCUCAAAAUAAAAUAAAAAAGGCUGGGGACAUAGCUUAGUAAUAGAGUGUGCCUGAGUUCAAUCCUCAGCUCCAAAAAUAAAAAUAAAUAAGCAAAGGGCUGGAGAUGUGGCUUGGUGGCAGAGCACCUGGAUUCAAUCCCCAGUCUCACAGAAGGAAAUAAAAAGAAAUGUUCUGUUGACUCCCUGCAGUGGCCGAUGAGGACUUUGCUCACUCAGUUUAUUACUCUGUUUUUAGUUCCUCCAUGGAUGACCUUCUAACUGGGACCUCUGUCCUGGGUCUGGCCUCCUGGGUCACCUUCUUGCUCAUACCCAGGCUUUUGUCCA